GGAUGUGAGGGCGAUCUGGCUGCAACAUCUGUCACCCCAUUGAUCGCCAGGGUUGAUUCGGCUGAUCUGGCUGGCUAGGCGGGUGUCCCCUUCCUCCCUCACCGCUCCAUGUGCGUCCCUCCCGAAGCUGCGCGCUCAGUCGAAGAGGACGACCUUCCCCAAUAGAGGAGGACCAUUCUUCGGUCAAGGGUAUAAGAGUAGCUGAGCUCCCCUGCUAGAACCUCCAAACAAGCUCUCAAAAAAUUUUUUUUCAAUAAAAGCAUUUCAAAUAUUAUCCAACUCUCUG
Molecule: small nuclear RNA, 286 nt
Filed under: Marmota marmota marmota (Alpine marmot)
Lineage: Eukaryota; Metazoa; Chordata; Mammalia; Rodentia; Sciuridae
Description: 7SK RNA (ENSMMMG00000016196.1)
Rfam family: 7SK RNA
About the family: 7SK was discovered as an abundant small nuclear RNA in the mid-70s but a possible function has only recently been suggested. Two independent studies have found that 7SK RNA binds the CDK9/cyclin T complex (known as elongation factor P-TEFb).
Source: RNAcentral